Drosophila sulfurigaster albostrigata is the source of this 6194-nucleotide RNA transcript. It is a transcript of the gene named protein retinal degeneration B, with no coding region annotated. The record is from RefSeq and is a predicted model, not a curated record. The transcript is spliced from 14 exons. Lineage: Eukaryota; Metazoa; Arthropoda; Insecta; Diptera; Drosophilidae.
GAACGCGGACGUGUGUCGGUCGUCGCUGCCGUCGCUCGCUACGCCUACGCUCUCGUUUUCUGUUUGUCCGUCUUGUGAUUGCAAAAAUUAAAAAAAAAAAAAGCAAGCAGCAAGCAUCAGCCCAAAGGCAAGAAAUUUAACAACAAAUUUUCUUUUUCACGCGUAUGUGUGUGAGUGUGUUUGUACAUAUAUUUUUGCUAACCAAAGCGUGAAAAAAUAGUUUUAAUAAAAAAAAAACGCAAAUUGCUAAAAAAUUUGUUUUCUUUUUUUUUCGGUGUUGUUUUUGUUAUUGUUAUUAAUCGUGCACAGCUGCUGGAAAUAUACAUAGAAACAUAUAUAUGUCAUAGACGCCACCGACGCGCACCGCAGCCAUGCGCAUCAGAAGCAGCAGCGGCAACAACAUCAGCCAGAACAACAACAGCAACAACAACAGCAACAAUCGAUGAUUGCCUAAGAGUAAGCUAUAAAGAUAGAAUGAGCGAUUGCAGGAAGUGAGAAGUUGAAGAAGUUGCGAAGCGAGAAGGAGUUACACUAAGCUAAAGCUGAAGCUGAACCUAAAGCCCGCCGUAAUAUAACCAAAGACGCCAAAGACCAAUUUAAAAAUAAUAAUAAACACCAACCGACUCCAUAAUGCUGAUCAAGGAGUACCGCAUACCUUUGCCCCUCACCGUUGAGGAGUAUCGCAUUGCCCAACUGUACAUGAUAGCGAAAAAGAGCCGCGAGGAGAGUCAUGGCGAAGGUAGCGGCGUUGAGAUUAUUAUCAAUGAACCAUAUAAAGAUGGACCCGGCGGCAAUGGACAGUAUACGAAAAAAAUCUAUCAUGUCGGCAGUCAUUUACCCGGCUGGAUUAAAAGUCUGCUGCCCAAAAGCGCGCUAACCGUGGAGGAGGAAGCCUGGAAUGCUUAUCCGUAUACACGCACUCGUUAUACCUGCCCAUUUGUGGAGAAAUUUUCGCUGGACAUUGAGACGUAUUAUCAUCCCGACAAUGGCUAUCAGGAUAAUGUGUUUCAGCUGUCGGGCAGUGAUCUACGCAAUCGCGUUGUAGAUGUGAUUGACAUUGUCAAGGAUCAGCUAUGGGGCGGAGAUUAUGUGAAGGAAGAGGAUCCCAAGCAUUUCGUAUCGGACAAGACGGGACGUGGUCCGCUCGGCGAUGAUUGGCUUGAGGAGUAUUGGCGCGAAGUGAAGGGGAAGAAGCAGCCAACGCCACGGAAUAUGUCGCUAAUGACCGCCUAUAAGAUAUGCCGUGUCGAGUUUCGCUAUUGGGGCAUGCAAACCAAGCUGGAGAAGUUCAUACACGAUGUCGCGUUGCGCAAGACAAUGCUACGCGCCCAUCGUCAGGCCUGGGCGUGGCAGGACGAAUGGCAUGGCCUCACCAUCGAGGACAUACGCGAGCUUGAGUUGCAAACGCAGUUGGCGUUGGCCAAGAAAAUGGGCAGUGGCGAGGAAUGCAGUGAUGAAAGCACCUCUGAGCCGUAUGUGAGCAGCGCCACAGUUGCCCCACAAUUGGGUGAGCGAAAGAAAUCUGCUCCGGCUGUGCCACCAAUUGUCACCCAGCAACCGCCCAGCGCAGAGGCGAGCUCGGAUGAGGAUGAUGACGACGAUGAUGAGGAGGAUGAAAACGAUGGAGUGGGCACUGGCGUUGAGCUGGGUGCCCAAAGCAGCAGCAAUCAACGGUCUCGUUCCCAAAGCAUUCAGUUGGCCAAUAAAGCAAAGUUUGGCUCAAAGGGCGCUCUCCACUCGCCGGUGGGUUCGGCGCACAGUUUUGAUCUGCAGCCCACAAAACCGCAUGCAAAGACAGCGCCACGCCGACAUGUGGCCAACUGGCGCAUGGAACGUCUUGAGGUUGACUCCAAGUCCAAUUCAGAUGAGGAGUUCUUCGAUUGUCUGGACACAAAUGAGACAAAUUCCCUGGCCAAAUGGAGUUCACUGGAGCUGCUUGGCGAAGGAGACGACAGUCCGCCUCCGCAUGGUGGCAGCUCGAGCGGCAGCGGUGGAGGCGGCGGUGCCAGUGGACGGCAUAAGCAGGACGAUAGCAUAUUCAAUCAGGACUUUCUAAUGCGUGUCGCAUCGGAGCGCGGCAAUAAGCGACAGCUGCGCUCCUCGGCGAGCAUCGAUCGCAGUCACGACUCAUCGCCCCCAGGAUCGCCGAGUACACCCUCUUGCCCCACCACCAUACUGGUGAUGGUGGUGCAUGCCGGCAGCGUGCUGGACGCGGCCAGUGAAUUGACCGCCAAGAAAUCGGAUGUAACCACAUUCCGUGGCUCAUUCGAGGCCGUUAUGCGUCAGCAUUAUCCCAACCUGCUGACGCAUAUGACGAUCAAAAUGGUGCCGUGUCCAUCGAUAUGCACCGAUGCCCUUGGCAUCCUCUCCAGCCUCAGUCCGUACUCGUUUGAUGCCUCACCAUCGGCCGCCGAUAUACCCAACAUAGCGGAUGUACCCAUCGGUGCCAUUCCGUUGCUGGCUGUGGCAUCGCCCGAAUUCCAGGAGACGGUCAACAAAACGGUGGCCGCUGCCAAUAUUGUGUAUCAUGAGUUCCUCAAAUCGGAGGAGGGUCACGGCUUCUCCGGCCAAAUUGUCAUGCUGGGCGAUUCGAUGGGUUCGCUGCUCGCCUACGAGGCGCUUUGUCGCGGCAAUGGCAGCGCCACACAGCCGAAUACAUCGUCCAACCAAUCACAGACACCAGCGACGGGUGCGGGUGGCGAUGGCAGUUGCCGCAUGUCACGCAUGGACGAUGAUGAGCGUUUUAUUGAUUCCGAUUUGGAUGCCAAACGUUUGUUGGUCGCCCCAUCGCCGCGACGUCGUCGCUCCAGUUCGUCGAGUGAUUCGCGUGCCACGAAAUUGGAUUUCGAAGUCAGUGAUUUCUUUAUGUUUGGCUCACCGUUGUCCGUGGUGUUGGCCGCACGUAAAUUGCACGAUGCCAAGGCGGCGCUGGCACGUCCCAAUUGCCAUCAGGUGUACAAUCUGUUCCAUCCAACCGAUCCAAUUGCCUCGCGUCUCGAGCCGUUGCUCAGUGCUCGCUUCUCCAUAUUGUCGCCGGUGAAUGUGCCGCGCUAUGCCAAAUAUCCGUUGGGCAAUGGACAGCCCCUGCAUUUAUUGGAGGUCAUACAAUCGCAUCCGCAGCAUUUCAAUGAUGGCAAUAAUCUGUUGGCUGGCAGACGUUUAUCCGAUGCCUCCAUGCAGAGCACCAUCUCUGGUCUUAUCGAGAAUGUCUCGCUCAGCACGAUACACUCAUUGCAAAACAAAUGGUGGGGCACCAAGCGCUUGGACUAUGCGCUCUACUGUCCAGAGGGUUUGAGCAACUUCCCUGCACACGCAUUGCCGCAUUUGUUCCAUGCCAGCUACUGGGAGAGUCCCGAUGUGAUUGCCUUUAUACUGCGACAAAUUGGUAAAUUCGAGGGCAUACCGUUCGUGGGCUCCAACGAUGACAAGGACAAUGCCUCGUUUCAUCCGGGACAACCGCGCGAAAAGUGGAUCAAGAAGCGCACGUCGGUUAAACUGAAGAAUGUGGCUGCGAAUCAUCGGGCCAACGAUGUGAUUGUGCAAGAGGGGCGUGAGCAGCGUUUGAAUGCGCGCUUCAUGUACGGCCCGUUGGAUAUGAUAACGUUGCAUGGGGAGCGGGUGGAUGUGCAUAUUAUGAAGGAUCCGCCGGCGGGUGAAUGGACAUUCCUAACCACCGAAAUGACCGACAAGAAUGGACGCAUCUCGUACAGUAUACCCGAUCAAUUGUCACUUGGUUAUGGCAUCUAUCCGGUCAAGAUGGUGGUGCGUGGCGAUCACACCUCUGUCGAUUGUUAUAUGGCCGUGGUGCCGCCAAUGACGGAAUGUGUUGUAUUCAGCAUCGAUGGUUCCUUCACCGCAUCCAUGUCGGUGACCGGACGUGAUCCGAAAGUCCGUGCCGGUGCCGUCGACGUCUGUCGCCAUUGGCAAGAGUUGGGCUAUUUGCUCAUCUAUAUCACGGGUCGACCCGAUAUGCAGCAACAGCGUGUCGUCUCGUGGCUGAGUCAGCAUAACUUUCCACACGGUCUUAUCUCGUUCGCCGAUGGUUUAUCCACCGAUCCGUUGGGUCACAAGACCGCCUAUCUCAAUAAUCUCGUGCAAAAUCAUGGAAUCUCAAUUACCGCCGCCUAUGGCAGUAGCAAGGAUAUUAGUGUGUACACCAAUGUGGGCAUGCGACACGAACAAAUCUUUAUUGUUGGCAAGGUCAGCAAGAAAUUGCAAUCGAAUGCAACGGUGCUGACCGAGGGCUAUGCCGCUCAUUUGGCCGGUCUCCAGGCAGUUGGUGGCUCUCGGCCGGCAAAGGGCAAUGCACGCAUGGUCAUACCUCGAGGUUGCUUCAAUCUGCCCGGGCAAUCCGCGAAUCCGAGGCGCAGAAGCAAUGAGACGGGCCUAUCAUCGCCAAUACGAAGUGGAUACCUGAAGCGCAAAACCUACUUAAGCCAUCACUAGAAUCCCGAUUUGGAGAGUGGCAAUGAUUUGUUUAGUUAAAGAAAUCGAGCAACCAUCGAGAAACUCCAUAAAUAUCUCUAAUAGUACACACAUAGAUAUCCACCAUCUAACAAGUGCUUCGAUCCUGUGUAGCUGAGACAUGCAACAAUACCAACAAUAAAUCAUCUAAUAAUAAUCUUAAUCAGUUCGUGGAUCCUCGAUCAGCAUUAGUUGCAGUUUAACACCACCAACCAAACAACCAAACAACCAACCAACAACAGCAAAAGCAACAAAACAACCGAACACAUCUCAGCAUCGAUGCUCCCCAUAAACUACAUCUGUGUAUAUACAUAAAAAAAAUAUAUAUAUAUAUUAUGCGCGAUAUAUAGCAAAAUUAUCUGGUGUAUAUAAAAAUAAACAAAUGCAAAGAAACAAAACAAAAAAAAACUUUAAUUCAAUUGUACAACAUAUUAAUAAAGUCAAAUGUGUCACGCGGUACCUGGAAAGAAAGACUGUUUCCUCCUGUUGUUUGAUGGUUUUCCAAACCACUUAAAGAAAAAAAAAUACAAAUCACAAAAUAAAAAACACUAAAAUCUAAAAAAAAAACUUAAAUGGAAAAUGAAUUCAUAAUUUAAAGGCAAACAAAAAAUUAAAAGCACAAACAAAUAAUGUGCUAUAUAUUGUAUAACAAAAUCAUUAAAAAAAAAGAAAACUAUACACAUACUACUCAGUCUAUGAAACCGUUUAACAUACAUAUACAAAACGAACAAAGUUCAGUAAAAUGAGGUUAUUACUAAAGGUCAAAGAACAACUGUGGAGAUAAUUAGAAGUACCGUAAAUGGAGAUAAGAUAAUCAUUCUAUUUUUGAAAGAUCUCCAAUGAAGAAACCACUUACACAAUUAUGGCUGGCACGAACGAAUAAAUAAUAAUAUUGCGUCGGGCGACAAGGUAAAAAGCGUUGCAAAAUCAAAUGGCAAAUUCAAUGCAUUUCUUGAACAAAAACAAAAAACAAAAAAAUAUAAUAAUAAUUAUACUAAUUACACAAAUAAUAAUACUAUUUAAAUGAAAUUGCUUUCGUAAGCGAAUUAAAUGGGGCAAUUUUGAAUUUCACAUUCAAUAAUUGGAAUUUUGGAGCCCCACAAAUAUAAUAAAAAUAAAAGUUAAUUGAAAAUAAAAAAACUCUACUUAUAUGUGUCUCGUAUGUGUGUGUAAAGUUAUAAACUUAUUCCAAGUGAAAAAUAAAACAAUCUGAUUCUAAUUCUAGUCCUAAGGGAAUCCCCGUAAGAAAUCUCUAUAAUUGUGAUAGUCUUUCGCUACUAAGAAUGCAAAAAAACCAAAAGUUAUUGAAAUCUAUUCAAAACAAAAUUGUUGUAUGUUAUGGCAGACAAAAUUGUUUUUUUUUUUUUAUGUAAAGCGAAAAAUAUUUACAUACUUUAUAAAAAGAGUAGAAGAAACACCCGAAAAAAAAAAAAAAAAACUGAAAAAUGUUUGUAACUAAGUUUUGAAUGUAACAUACUCGUACUAUAUUCAGUUCGAUUCGUUCGAGUUCUGUAGAUGUUAGUGUUAUACAGUUACAAAAUAUAUGUUACUGAUAUCUGUGUAUGGUAUAUGUACCAUAUGUGACCUAUCUAUCCAUAAACCGGAAAUGAAAACUGCGCUCAUUUGUGAUAAACAAUAAUUGAGUACAUUUGUAGUAUGUAGAGAAAUGCAAAUCUUGAUAAAUAAAAUAACAAACAAACAAACAAAAAAAGAAAAUAAUCAACAAAAUC